CUGAAUCUGUUAGAGGGGAUUUCUUGGAUUGCAGAAUCUGUGAAGUUGGAUUUUUAGUUCAGAAACGCCGUUCACCCAAGGGACAGCAGAAGCCAAACAAGCAUGCUACAAAUGACAGGCUGGAAACACAUGGACCGGAGAGGGGAAAUCCUGGUGGCCGGUGCAUCAAGUCAGCAACGUCUUCAGCCGUGGAUCACGCUGUCUGAGAGGUCAGUAGCUCACCUGUGCCCCUUCCUGCCCUCAACCACACAGAUGUUGGACACUCAUUGCCCAGUCAUCCAUCCACGUGAACAAUUGGCCUCGGAAGACGAUGGGGAGCCCAAAAGCUGAAACCACUGAAGCUGUGGGCCCAAGAGCCCACAAUGAGAGAGGCCCCCGCAAUGACAAGCCACAACUAGAGAGAGAAAGGACCCACCCCCCCACACACAGCAACAAAGACCCAGGGCAUCCAGAAAUAAAUAAAAUAAAAAAGUU
This is a long non-coding RNA of Bubalus bubalis (water buffalo), 474 nucleotides long. RefSeq lists it as uncharacterized. The record is from RefSeq and is a predicted model, not a curated record. The transcript has 3 exons. NCBI's taxonomy places the organism in Eukaryota, Metazoa, Chordata, Mammalia, Artiodactyla, Bovidae.